RNAcentral lists this non-coding RNA (440 nucleotides) under Gossypium hirsutum (cotton). Its description in RNAcentral is "Eukaryotic large subunit ribosomal RNA". It matches the Rfam family "Eukaryotic large subunit ribosomal RNA", at positions 24 to 462 of the family's 3401-position model. The record is from Rfam by way of RNAcentral. Lineage: Eukaryota; Viridiplantae; Streptophyta; Magnoliopsida; Malvales; Malvaceae.
CCCGCUGAGUUUAAGCAUAUCAAUAAGCGAAGGAAAAGAUACUUACCAGGAUUCCCCUAGUAACGGCGAGCGAACUGGGAAAAGCCCAGCUUGAGAAUCGGGCGCCACCGGCGUUCGAAUUGUAGUCUAGAGAAGCGUCCUCAGCCGCGGACCAGGCCCAAGUCCCCUGGAAACGGGCGCCGGAGAGGGUGAGAGCCCCGUCGUGCCCGGACCCUGUCGCACCAUGAGGCGCUGUCUACGAGUCGGUUGUUUGGGAAUGCAGCCCUAAUCGGGCGGUAAAUUCUGUCCAAGGGUAAAUACGGGCGAGAGACCGAUAGCGAACAAGUACCGUGAGGGAAAGAUGAAAAGGACUUUGAAAAGAGAGUCAAAGAGUGCUUGAAAUUGUCGGGAGGGAAACGGAUGGGGGCCAGCGAUGUGCCCCAGUCGGAUGUGAAACGACG